UUUGGUCAUUUAGAGGAAGUAAAAGUCGUAACAAGGUUUCCGUAGGUGAACCUGCGGAAGGAUCAUUAAUGAGAACGUGCCCUUCGGGGUAGAUCUCCCACCCUGUGUUUACACUACCUUUGUUGCUUUGGCAGGCCCGCCCUCGGGCCGCCGGCUCCGGCUGGCCAGCGUCUGCCAGAGGAUUCAAAACUCUUUGUUAUUUUUGCCGUCUGAGUACUAUACAAUAGUUAAAACUUUCAACAACGGAUCUCUUGGUUCUGGCAUCGAUGAAGAACGCAGCGAAAUGCGAUAAGUAAUGUGAAUUGCAGAAUUCAGUGAAUCAUCGAAUCUUUGAACGCACAUUGCGCCCUCUGGUAUUCCGGGGGGCAUGCCUGUUCGAGCGUCAUUACAACCCUCAAGCUCAGCUUGAUAUUGGGCCUCGCCGGUUCCGGCGGGCCUCAAAGUCAGUGGCGGUGCCAUCCGGCUUCAAGCGUAGUAACACUCUCGCUUCUGGAGACCCGGGUGCGUGCUUGCCAGCAACCCCAAUUUUCUCAAGGUUGACCUCGGAUCAGGUAGGGAUACCCGCUGAACUUAAGCAUAUCAAUAAGCGGAGGA
Molecule: ribosomal RNA, 594 nt
Filed under: uncultured Pezizomycotina
Lineage: Eukaryota; Fungi; Ascomycota
Description: eukaryotic LSU rRNA
Rfam family: 5.8S ribosomal RNA (bases 232-385)
Source: RNAcentral